AUUGAACGCUGGCGGCAGGCUUAACACAUGCAAGUCGAGCGAGCGGCGGACGGGUGAGUAAUGUCUGGGAAACUGCCUGAUGGAGGGGGAUAACUACUGGAAACGGUCGCUAAUACCGCAUACCAUCAGAUGUGCCCAGAUGGGAUUAGCUAGUAGGGGGGGUAAUGGCUCACCUAGGCGACGAUCCCUAGCUGGUCUGAGAGGAUGACCAGCCACACUGGAACUGAGACACGGUCCAGACUCCUACGGGAGGCAGCAGUGGGGAAUAUUGGACAAUGGGCGCAAGCCUGAUGCAGCCAUGCCGCGUGUGUGAAGAAGGCCUUCGGGUUGUAAAGCACUUUAAGUGGGGAGGCGUUACUCGCAGAAGAAGCACCGGCUAACUCCGUGCCAGCAGCCGCGGUAAUUC
RNAcentral lists this ribosomal RNA (406 nucleotides) under uncultured bacterium. Its description in RNAcentral is "partial 16S ribosomal RNA". It matches the Rfam family "Bacterial small subunit ribosomal RNA", at positions 30 to 526 of the family's 1533-position model. The record is from RNAcentral.